CAGGGAUCGGAUUGGGAUCAAGGGGGAUUGGAGGUAUGCGGAAGGAGGAGCCUUAGGUGCGGCUAGGUGGGGCGGAGACUGUGAACCACGACGGACUCGCCGGUCGUUGCGGCGUCGGCGGCGGGAGGAGGUUGGCCCACGACGGUGCACCGGAGGGACGGAGAGGGAAGCGGCGCCGGGCACGUUCGGGUAGCCCCGGGCUGGCGCAGCGACGGGCGUACUACGGAGCGAGGGCUCAAGGUCUAGCCCUCUCCUCGAGGGCUAGGUCUCGGGGCGGCGGUCACUGGCCUUGAGCGGCAUCUACCCCUUGGCGGCGGUGGCGGAACCAGAAGGGGCUGGCGCGGCGGUACCUACGGGCAGAGGCGGAGACCAACCUAGGCCGGCUCUUGCCUCGGGGCGGCUGGAGGGCACCGGUCUAGGCGGACGAGGGCUUGGGCGGCUGGAGAGGGGCAACGGUCGCAGCACAGCGGGAGCGGCCUGCGGCGGCAACAGGACGAAGCUCCUCCUCGUGCGGGGUGAGUUGGGAGACGCAGCAACUGGCACGGCGGUCCACCCGGAGCGGGCGCCGGGUCGUCUGGGUGGGCAGGCGUAGCCCGGAGGGAGUCGGACGAAGGAGCAGUACCCGGCUCGGUUGUACCUCUACCGGGGUAAGAUUCGUAGUAGUAACAGGUAGGUUCGAGUUUUUCGUAUCGGGGGUCUACAACAUAACGAUGAGGGUUGAGACAGCUGAGUAAGACCUAGACCGAAGCGUGUCUACAUAGUGGUCAACGUCGUAGAGAGACUUACCUCCAUUCAGAUGUGUUUUCAUGCGUAAAUCGAGAAGGCAACAGAUCAUUUAAUAAACUCUCAUUUUUUAUUAAAUCUUCUGUGUUUCGAUGUAGUAUCGUGACGUAGUAGUCAACGGCUGUUUCUUUCGUACUUUAAGAUUGUUGUCUUUUCGUAGUUGUCAGGAUACUCUUAACACAAGUCUCUCAUUCUACACAAUAGUCCUUUUUUUGUGUAUUUUCACUUUCUCCGUACCAACAUAUAUCUAUCUAGCUAUAUUGGAACAUGUCAGCCAGAAGUUGAUGUUGCGUCCAAGUGAUGUUAAUGUUACGGAGUGUACUUUGGUUACUACUUUUCAUAUGGUAGUUGACGAUUCGAUAGGUCUAACGGAACCUCUAUUCUAGACGGAUGCAACAGGUCUUACUGUAGUUCCAGACCAUCUCUAUAAGGUGUAUAAUGUCAGUCUUACAUAUACUUUAACUGCCCAUAUUGAACCAUUUCGGUUUAUUAAAAUAAAUGAAAACGUAGUCCCGUAGUUCACAGUGUUCUCCUACCGUGCUAUUAUGGUAAAGGUAAUCAAAGAAGAAGCUAUGCACGAUGUUUCCAAAACAUCAAAAACGUAUAUAGGUGUGGAAUUUGCAGCGUUCGCUGAUCAAAGAGAAAUCUAAAGAGCUCGCCGUAUUGUCUAAAAGAAAGCCUUUUGUAGAAACAUGGUAUAUAUAACAUAAAUAGACUUGGUUAUUUGGACGUCACUUUUUUUGGAACUAAGGUUCCGCGAAGCGUUAGACAUAUCGUUUACACGGUUAAGACGAACUAGGUGACACUUAGACGUAUGCUGACCUCUAUCCAGCUGUUCUUUUUUGUUUCCGUACUUUUAAGACAAGGUCAAGUUAAGAGUGUUGUGGUUUAACACUUGGAUAAAAACGUAUCUUCACUAAUGAUUUAGUAAAGUAUGAGGUAAUCUCAUCGUGGUAAGUUAUGAAACAAUAAAAAGUCAAUCAGUCUCGUACAGUUAAACCACUACUGAUUCCUUCUAAGUGUAAGACGUUAGGAUUGCUUGUUUAAUCGGUCUCUCUAAAAGAAUUUCCCUUCCCUGAGUUGACCCCUCUACCGACCAGUACUUCUGCACGUCCGGUGGAGCCCGUUCGGCCGCCGUAGCCAGUCGCUGUGGGAGAGAUUGUAGCCCUCGUUGUCGGAGUCGCCGUGGUAGUGGAAGAGGCACAUGGACGCAUUCGUUGCUCUCGUCGACGUACUGGAGUUCGGUUAUGUGUUAUAAAGUACUUUAGUUAGUUAGUUAGUCAUGUGUUAUAAGAGAAUCAACAGGGUUAGUUAGUCCUUAACACAUGGAAAACUUGUCAACAUCUUUUUAGGAAAAGAUCGGUGAAACAUAGAAACUACUGAAGAAAAUGACCGGAGAGUAGUUAAAACCGUAAGUUCUUUAAUCCUUGGAUGAGUUCACCUUUAGUAGUUUAGUUAUGAGGUUUCGUGACGGUCGUCUCAUCGGUACAAACAUUAGUAUAUAAGUGGACUCAACAACUUACCAAAGGGUUUUAUCAGUAUAAACAGUGAGAUAGUAUUUUGUGUGGUCGAAAAUCACGAUCGACGUUUUUGUGAUAGUUACUGUCUAAUCAGAACAGAAGACAACUUUAUUUUAUUGACUUUGUAUAGUCUUUAUUAAUUCUAAGUAACUCUCAUAUUGUCUAAUCAGAACAGAAGACAACUUUAUUUUAUUGACUUUGUAUAGUCUUUAUUAAUUCUAAGUAACUCUCAUAUUGUGCAGUUCAUUUACCAGCACGGACCAGGAAAGUUGACAUUUGACCAGAUGAUAAAAAAAUGACUGCUGUCUUCAGUAUUCAAAGAAAACGUCGAUCUACUUGUAUGUGUUCAAUAGACUACCGGAUGUAUGCUGUUUUUUUAAUUGUAUACCUUCUUUUUAAUUGUAAUACUGGUUCCGUCUUAUUUUCCUGACCUUGAACAUCAAAACCCUUGGACCGACCGUUUCUGAUUACGUUUGAAAUAGGUACUGGCGUCCUAUUUCAACCGUCACCUAUUCAAGUUCUCUAUUGUCUCAGAAACGUACCGUCGAGUCUUCGUCCAUAUGUGGUAAUUGAACAGGCACCUUUAACUAUUCACAUACUAAUAAACUUUGUUCACAUACUAGUAACCAGUGUAUCGACUGUGUUUAAACUAAAACGUUUUUACCUCCCUAUAAUCCUCUAUUUCAAAGUCAAAAAAACAGUGUGGAUUGGAAGAUUAACUCGGUCUCGUUCUCGUCUCGUACUCUCUGGAACUUCUCAGCCUCUCCUCGCCGCGAGAACAGCACAUCCACCACGACUGGAGGUAAAGGUCUAGGUCGUUAGAGGAGAGAGCAGAGGAGUGACUUCUUUGGUUGUACCGGUACAUUUACGAAGUCAAAACUCUUAGUCACGUGUACUUGACAUGUA
This 3209-nucleotide ribosomal RNA is filed under the name Triticum aestivum (bread wheat). RNAcentral describes it as "partial small subunit ribosomal RNA". The record is from RNAcentral. Lineage: Eukaryota; Viridiplantae; Streptophyta; Magnoliopsida; Poales; Poaceae.